This is a small nucleolar RNA of Zingiber officinale, 150 nucleotides long. RefSeq annotates it as small nucleolar RNA snoR135. The record is from RefSeq and is a predicted model, not a curated record. Lineage: Eukaryota; Viridiplantae; Streptophyta; Magnoliopsida; Zingiberales; Zingiberaceae. The transcript has a single exon.
AAUGCAGGAUAGUGUGUAUCGACUGAAUGCUUAUUUACAAUGCAUUUUCUGUCGAAAGUGUUUCCUGCAAGAGCAAUCUGGGGCAAAUGGGCAGUUGGGACAAAACCUAAUUUUUGAUCGGGUGUCUCGACAAUCAUUUUCCUCAUAUGC